GACGAACGCUGGCGGCGUGCUUAACACAUGCAAGUCGAACGGAAAGGCCCUGCUUUUGUGGGGCGCUCGAGUGGCGAACGGGUGUGUAACACGUGAGUAACCUGCCCUUGACUUUGGGAUAACUUCAGGAAACUGGGGCUAAUACCGGAUAGGAGCUCCUGCUGCAUGGUGGGGGUUGGAAAGUUUCGGCGGUUGUGGACAGACUCGCGGCUUAUCAGCUUGUUGGUGGGGUAGUGGCUUACCAAGGCUUCGACGGGUAGCCGGCCUGAGAGGUGGACCGGCCUCAUUGGAACUGAGAUACGGCCCAGACUCCUACGGGAGGCAACGGUGGGGAAUCUUGCACAAUGGGCGGAAGCGUGAUGCAGCAACCCCGCGUGCGGAAUAACGGCCUUCGGGUUGUGAACCAAUUUGGCCUGUAACAAAGCGUGAGUGACGGUAAUGAGUAAAGAAGCACCGGCUAACUACGUG
This 468-nucleotide ribosomal RNA is filed under the name uncultured bacterium. RNAcentral describes it as "partial 16S ribosomal RNA". It matches the Rfam family "Bacterial small subunit ribosomal RNA", at positions 28 to 507 of the family's 1533-position model. The record is from RNAcentral.